UAGGGAAUCUUCGGCAAUGGACGAAAGUCUGACCGAGCAACGCCGCGUGAGUGAAGAAGGUUUUCGGAUCGUAAAACUCUGUUGUUAGAGAAGAACAAGGACGUUAGUAACUGAACGUCCCCUGACGGUAUCUAACCAGAAAGCCACGGCUAACUACGUGCCAGCAGCCGCGGUAAUACGUAGGUGGCAAGCGUUGUCCGGAUUUAUUGGGCGUAAAGCGAGCGCAGGCGGUUUCUUAAGUCUGAUGUGAAAGCCCCCGGCUCAACCGGGGAGGGUCAUUGGAAACUGGGAGACUGGGGUGCAGAAGAGGAGAGUGGAAUUCCAUGUGUAGCGGUGAAAUGCGUAGAUAUAUGGAGGAACACCAGUGGCGAAGGCGGCUCUCUGGUCUGUAACUGACGCUGAGGCUCGAAAGCGUGGGGAGCAAACAGG
RNAcentral lists this ribosomal RNA (429 nucleotides) under Chloroflexota bacterium. Its description in RNAcentral is "Chloroflexi bacterium partial 16S ribosomal RNA". It matches the Rfam family "Bacterial small subunit ribosomal RNA", at positions 355 to 776 of the family's 1533-position model. Lineage: Bacteria; Bacillati; Chloroflexota. The record is from RNAcentral.